ACACACACACACACACACACACACAGACACACACAGACACACUCCUCUGUCAAACACUACUUGUUGUGUCACACAUUUAGUAGCCUGAUACACACAGACCCCGGAUAGACCCCUGCCACUUCAUUUAGUAGCCUGAUUCACACACACACAAUGUGGCCAUUCUGAGCGGGAGGCAUGACUGGGUGCUAACACAGCUGUUGCACCCACAGGGACAGCACAGGAAGCAGAAGAGAGAGAUGGUGCGCGCGUGUGUGUGUGAGUGAGUGUGUGUGUGUGUGUGUGUGUGUGUGUGUGUGUGAGCAUGUAUGAGAAAACGAGACAGACAGAGAUGGUGUGUGUUUGAACGUGUGUGAGAGGGACUGAUAUUGUAGGUGUGUGAGAGAGAGAGAUGUGCCUGUAUGUGAAAGCCAGAGAGAUGUGUGUGUGUGUGGGAGAGAGAGAUGUGCCUGUAUGUGAAAGCCAGAGAGAUGUGUGUGUGUGUGAGAGAGAGAGAGAGUGAUGUGCAUUUAGGUGAAAGCCAGAGAGAUGUGUGUGUGUGUGUGUGUGUGUGUGUGUGUGUGUGUGUGAGAGUGAGUGAGUGAGUGAGUGAGUGAGUGAGUGAGUGAGUGAGUGAG
Clupea harengus (Atlantic herring) is the source of this 614-nucleotide long non-coding RNA. NCBI's taxonomy places the organism in Eukaryota, Metazoa, Chordata, Actinopteri, Clupeiformes, Clupeidae. The record is from Ensembl.